Molecule: ribosomal RNA, 301 nt
Filed under: uncultured bacterium
Lineage: Bacteria
Description: partial 16S ribosomal RNA
Rfam family: Bacterial small subunit ribosomal RNA
Source: RNAcentral
CAGUAGCCACGGGAAUACGUAGGUGGCAAGCGUUGUCCGGAAUUAUUGGGCGUAAAGGGCUCGCAGGCGGUUUCUUAAGUCUGAUGUGAAAGCCCCCGGCUCAACCGGGGAGGGUCAUUGGAAACUGGGAAACUUGAGUGCAGAAGAGGAGAGUGGAAUUCCACGUGUAGCGGUGAAAUGCGUAGAGAUGUGGAGGAACACCAGUGGCGAAGGCGACUCUCUGGUCUGUAACUGACGCUGAGGAGCGAAAGCGUGGGGAGCGAACAGGAUUAGAUACCCCUGUAGUCCCUGUCUCUUAUAA